Leptidea sinapis is the source of this 424-nucleotide long non-coding RNA. RefSeq lists it as uncharacterized. NCBI's taxonomy places the organism in Eukaryota, Metazoa, Arthropoda, Insecta, Lepidoptera, Pieridae. The transcript has 3 exons. The record is from RefSeq and is a predicted model, not a curated record.
GUAUUUAUUGACUGGAAACUGCACCGCAUUCGGCAAUUAAAUUCGUUUACAAUUCACGAAGAAACAACACGUCAUCCGUCCGUCAACGGUUGAAACUUCAAAACAUGAAAAUUUAUGUGGAAAAUUAUAAUGACGUCAGUUUAAUGCUGAAAUAUAAAAUGGGUGAGAAAGAAAUGAAAUGUUGCCAAUUGUUCGAACUCGAGACCGACGAGUGUUAAGACGGCAAUUGCUGACGUCAGUAGUUGCGGCGGGAGACGUUAUCGACUCUGUGGCAUCUAAUAUGUGUACCGGCGAGUUUUGCACGAGGAGCACACUACUAGGACAUACGUUCGCUCCACAAAGCUCGAUGGAGGGUCUGGAGAGCGGCACCAAGACUGCAGUGACCGUGCUGAGGUCUUGGGUACAGACACACGAAGAAGCGCAG